RNAcentral lists this transfer RNA (73 nucleotides) under Candidatus Anammoximicrobium sp. Its description in RNAcentral is "tRNA-Phe". It matches the Rfam family "tRNA". Rfam says of the family: Transfer RNA (tRNA) molecules are approximately 80 nucleotides in length. RNAcentral also lists the same sequence under 1 other name. The record is from RNAcentral. Lineage: Bacteria; Pseudomonadati; Planctomycetota; Planctomycetia; Pirellulales; Pirellulaceae.
GGUCAGGUAGCUCAGUUGGUAGAGCAACGGACUGAAAAUCCGUGUGUCGCCAGUUCAAUCCUGGCCCUGACCA